CUUAAUGAACUAACCGUUGCAACUAACCGUUAUUUUAACAAAAAUAUUUUGACCCAUAACAGGAAGGAAAACAAGGGUUAUUGCCGAGGGUUUGGAUUGCUGAGGUGUCGCUAAGGGUAGAAGCAAAGGCCGAAAAAAAUAGAAGAUAUAUGAGAUGAAGGGGUUGAAUGGGUCAGAGAAAAUGGGUAUUGAGGCUUCUGAUGGUUCGAAACUAUAGGAUCGAUCGUGAUGUUUUGAGGGUUGUUGAUCUGUGGGAGCAAGACGAUGGUUGUAGUGACGUCGAUGAAGGAUGCCGGAGAGAUGGGGCUGCUGCGUUUCUUGUCGAAAGAAGCUUUUGGUUUUCUUGUUUCUUUUAUUUUUCUGGUUCUGUUUUUCUAGGGUUUCUUAAGAAGGCGGUGAGUUUUCUUUUGAUUUUUUUGGGGUUUUUUUAAGUGGUUUUAUUCAUUUUUUGCAAUUUUCCACCGUUGUUUUGUGUCACUUGCUUGGUGAUAGAUUAACUCAUGCAUAUAUGCAAUAAUUUAUUGAUAAUGGCAUUUCAUCGGUCUUUAAUUUUUUUUUAAAAAA
RNAcentral lists this long non-coding RNA (564 nucleotides) under Gossypium barbadense (sea-island cotton). Its description in RNAcentral is "long non-coding RNA (GBAR_LNC012839)". Lineage: Eukaryota; Viridiplantae; Streptophyta; Magnoliopsida; Malvales; Malvaceae. The record is from RNAcentral.